UUUUUUUUUUUUUUUCCCCUUUUGGCAAAAUCCUUUAUGAAGCCCAUGACAUUUUGGAGUUUUGCUGUUGAGCCCUCCAACUGGUAGUAUGUUCUAUUAGUUCCUUGAACUAUUUAAUCUGGUAUUAUUGAGUACUAAUUUAAUUGCAACAGAUACAAUAUUGGGUAUUAUUAUAGCAAAUGCAUUACAGAUUGUAAACAUCACUGUUGUACCCUGAACGUACGAAUAGUUUAUUGCCUGAUAUUAGAUCCUUGGCUUUUCUUAAUGGCAAUUCUGCUUUUGGGUCUAUAUUAUCUCUUUUUUAUGUGAAAAUAGUACUAAAUAGCACCAAAUUGA
This 336-nucleotide unclassified non-coding RNA is filed under the name Hevea brasiliensis (rubber tree). Lineage: Eukaryota; Viridiplantae; Streptophyta; Magnoliopsida; Malpighiales; Euphorbiaceae. The record is from RNAcentral.